AAUCAACGCUGGCGGCGUGCCUCAGACAUGCAAGUCGAACGCGAAAGGCCCCUUCGGGGGCCCGGUAGAGUGGCGCACGGGUGAGUAACACGUAGGUAAUUUGCCUUCGGGUGGGGAAUAACAGCCGGAAACGGCUGCUAAUACCGCAUAAUGCAGCGGCUCGACAUCGAGACAGUUGUUAAAGCGGGGGAUCGCAAGACCUCGCGCCUGAGGAGAAGCCUGCGGCAGAUAGCUUGUUGGUGAGGUAAUGGCUCACCAAGGCGACGAUCUGUAACCGGCCUGAGAGGGCGGUCGGUCACACUGACACU
RNAcentral lists this ribosomal RNA (308 nucleotides) under uncultured bacterium. Its description in RNAcentral is "bacterial SSU rRNA". It matches the Rfam family "Bacterial small subunit ribosomal RNA", at positions 32 to 320 of the family's 1533-position model. The record is from RNAcentral.